AUGGAAGCCACGGAAGAAUUUUCCGAAGCCGGCAUAUGUGUCCCUCCAGUUGAUCUGCCUUCUAUAAAGGCGGCCACAAACGAUUUUUCUGAUAGCAAUAUCAUCGGCAAAGGCGGAUUUGGCGUUGUUUACACGGCACUACUAAAUGGUGUUAUCGUCGCUGUAAAGAGACUCAAACCAUCUGGCCUUACCGAAAAAGGCAAGAAGGACUUCACAAGAGAAGUGGAAGUGAUGUCAACGGUCACACAUAAUAAUCUGGUGAAACUAGUUUCCUAUUGCCAGGAAGAGGACGAGUGGAUACUAGUCUACGAGUACAUGCCCAACAAAAGUUUGAGCCCCUACAUAUUUGGAGAAAACUCAUCACCCGGUCCAUCAUUGACUUGGGUUCAAAGGCUAGAGAUAAUCCAUGGUGUUGCGGUAGGUGUUGAGUACCUUCACAACAAGGAAGUCAUCCACAGAGAUCUUAAGUUGUCGAACAUACUCUUGGAUCACGAGUUAAAGCCUAAGAUAGCGGACUUCGGCACCGCAAAGCUAUUUAUUGAUGAUCAGACGAACCCAACAGUAGUACAGACACCGGGGUACAUUGCUCCAGAGUAUGCAAGGGAAGCCUACCUGACGCUCAAGUGUGACGUAUACAGUUUUGGAGUGGUCUUGCUAGAGAUAGUCUCUGGCAAAAAGAACGUAAAAAAGUUUCUUCUUGAUGCGUGGGGGUUCUGGAACAAAGGGAAAAUCAAGGCCCUUCUUGAUUCGCAAGUGGCUGAACCUAACCAACAGCUCUCAUUGGAACUAUCCAGGGUUAUCCAGAUCGGGCUUCUCUGCGUGCAACCAAUGCCCGAUGACAGGCCUAGCAUGCCAGAGGUGGUCGUAAUGCUAACGGACAGCAGUUCAGGGCUGGCUAAGCCCAAGAAGCACGUGGUCGGCCCUGGUCAAGCAACC
Molecule: ribosomal RNA, 936 nt
Filed under: Triticum aestivum (bread wheat)
Lineage: Eukaryota; Viridiplantae; Streptophyta; Magnoliopsida; Poales; Poaceae
Description: partial small subunit ribosomal RNA
Source: RNAcentral